RNAcentral lists this ribosomal RNA (24 nucleotides) under Meruliopsis parvispora. Its description in RNAcentral is "partial 28S ribosomal RNA". The record is from RNAcentral. Lineage: Eukaryota; Fungi; Basidiomycota; Agaricomycetes; Polyporales; Irpicaceae.
UGAUCUCAAAUCAGGUAGGACUAC